Chinchilla lanigera (long-tailed chinchilla) is the source of this 484-nucleotide long non-coding RNA. RefSeq lists it as uncharacterized. The transcript has 4 exons. Lineage: Eukaryota; Metazoa; Chordata; Mammalia; Rodentia; Chinchillidae. The record is from RefSeq and is a predicted model, not a curated record.
GAGCCAGCCGGUUCCGGCCUGAAACCUCUACAAACUGCCCUUGUGGAAGACAAGCCCCUAGAGCCCGGGCAUCUGAUUGGACAGCUCUGCAGGAAGCCUAGAAGAGCAUGGGAAGCAAGGAGCAGAAGGACGAGGGGUCACUCAGCCACCAGACAGGGAGAAGGCGCCUGCUAGGGCCUCCAGAGGGGACUCGGCUGCAGACUACUAAAGUUUGAGGUCCACUUCUUUCAGGACUUUUAAGAAGAAAUCAUCUGCUAUGUGUUGCUCUAAAGAUAUCCUGCAAUUCAAACUUCUCACUAAUUCAAAGAGACUUUCUUUCUAUUGAAAUUGAGACACUAUUUUGCCCAUACUGAUCUGAAUUCCUAGGCUCAAGUGUUCCUCCUGCCUCAGCCUCUGGAGUAGAUGGGACAAAGCCACACAGCACUAUUCCUGGCUUGAGACAAUUUGAAAAGAAAAGAAGUAUAACAGAUACGUUAAGAGAGAA